This 253-nucleotide ribosomal RNA is filed under the name uncultured bacterium. Its description in RNAcentral is "partial 16S ribosomal RNA". It matches the Rfam family "Bacterial small subunit ribosomal RNA", at positions 524 to 776 of the family's 1533-position model. The record is from RNAcentral.
UACGUAGGCAGCAAGCGUUAUCCGGAAUUACUGGGCGUAAAGCGCGUGUAGGCGGAUGAGCAAGUCUGCUGUGAAAGCUCCUGGCUUAACCGGGAGUGGUCGGUGGAAACUGCUCGUCUGGAGGACGGUAGAGGUAGGUAGAAUUCCCGGUGUAGUGGUGAAAUGCGUAGAGAUCGGGAGGAAUACCUGUGGCGAAGGCGGCCUACUGGGCCGGACCUGACGCUGAGACGCGAAGGCGUGGGGAGCGAACGGG